GAGGAUGACCAGCCACACUGGAACUGAGACACGGUCCAGACUCCUACGGGAGGCAGCAGUGGGGAAUAUUGCACAAUGGGCGCAAGCCUGAUGCAGCCAUGCCGCGUGUGUGAAGAAGGCCUUCGGGUUGUAAAGCACUUUCAGCGAGGAGGAAGGUGGUGAGCUUAAUACGCUCAUCAAUUGACGUUACUCGCAGAAGAAGCACCGGCUAACUCCGUGCCAGCAGCCGCGGUAAUACGGAGGGUGCAAGCGUUAAUCGGAAUUACUGGGCGUAAAGCGCACGCAGGCGGUCUGUCAAGUCGGAUGUGAAAUCCCCGGGCUCAACCUGGGAACUGCAUUCGAAACUGGCAGGCUAGAGUCUUGUAGAGGGGGGUAGAAUUCCAGGUGUAGCGGUGAAAUGCGUAGAGAUCUGGAGGAAUACCGGUGGCGAAGGCGGCCCCCUGGGCAAAGACUGACGCUCAGGUG
Molecule: ribosomal RNA, 465 nt
Filed under: uncultured Enterobacterales bacterium
Lineage: Bacteria; Pseudomonadati; Pseudomonadota; Gammaproteobacteria; Enterobacterales
Description: bacterial SSU rRNA
Rfam family: Bacterial small subunit ribosomal RNA
Source: RNAcentral